RNAcentral lists this ribosomal RNA (766 nucleotides) under bacterium enrichment culture clone SC-2_38. RNAcentral describes it as "bacterial SSU rRNA". It matches the Rfam family "Bacterial small subunit ribosomal RNA", at positions 28 to 785 of the family's 1533-position model. The record is from RNAcentral.
GAUGAACGCUAGCGGCAGGCUUAAUACAUGCAAGUCGAGGGGCAGCAGGACUGUAGCAAUACAGUUGCUGGCGACCGGCAAACGGGUGCGGAACACGUACGCAACUUACCCAAAACUGGGGAAUAGCCCGGGGAAACCCGGAUUAAUACCUCGUAACAUAAUGAAGUGGCAUCACUUUAUUAUUAUAGCUCCGGCGGUUUUGGAUGGGCGUGCGCCUGAUUAGGUAGUUGGCGGGGUAACGGCCCACCAAGCCUACGAUCAGUAACUGGUGUGAGAGCACGACCAGUCACACGGGCACUGAGACACGGGCCCGACUCCUACGGGAGGCAGCAGUAAGGAAUAUUGGUCAAUGGACGCAAGUCUGAACCAGCCAUGCCGCGUGAAGGAUGAAGGUCCUCUGGAUUGUAAACUUCUUUUAUAUGGGAAGGAAUCCACUUUUUCUUGAGUGGUUGACGGUACCAUAGGAAUAAGCACCGGCUAACUCCGUGCCAGCAGCCGCGGUAAUACGGAGGGUGCAAGCGUUAUCCGGAUUCACUGGGUUUAAAGGGUGCGUAGGAGGGCAGGUAAGUCAGUGGUGAAAUCUCCAAGCUUAACUUGGAAACUGCCGUUGAUACUAUCUGUCUUGAAUACCGUGGAGGUGAGCGGAAUAUGUCAUGUAGCGGUGAAAUGCUUAGAUAUGACAUAGAACACCAAUUGCGAAGGCAGCUCGCUACACGAAUAUUGACUCUGAGGCACGAAAGCGUGGGGAUCAAACAGGAUUAGAUAA